GCCAGGUGUGGUGGCGCAUGCCUGUAAUCCCAGCUACUUGGGAGGCUGAGGCAGGAGAAUUGCUUGAACCUGGGAGGCAGAGGUUGCAGUGAGCCAAGAUUACGCCACUGCACUCCAGCCUGGGUGACAGAGCAAGACUCUGUCUCGG
Molecule: non-coding RNA, 148 nt
Filed under: Nomascus leucogenys (northern white-cheeked gibbon)
Lineage: Eukaryota; Metazoa; Chordata; Mammalia; Primates; Hylobatidae
Source: Rfam by way of RNAcentral